GGAGAGGUGGCAGAGUGGUCGAUCGCGGCGGUCUUGAAAACCGUUGACUGUUAAAGGUCCGGGGGUUCGAAUCCCUCCCUCUCCGCAA
This 88-nucleotide transfer RNA is filed under the name Bacteroidota bacterium. RNAcentral describes it as "Bacteroidetes bacterium tRNA-Ser". It matches the Rfam family "tRNA". Rfam says of the family: Transfer RNA (tRNA) molecules are approximately 80 nucleotides in length. Lineage: Bacteria; Pseudomonadati; Bacteroidota. The record is from RNAcentral.